Molecule: non-coding RNA, 5728 nt
Organism: Cyanistes caeruleus (blue tit)
Lineage: Eukaryota; Metazoa; Chordata; Aves; Passeriformes; Paridae
Source: RefSeq, a predicted model, not a curated record
UCCCCCGUGUAUCCCCGUGCAUCCCCGUGCUGGCUCUGCCCAGCGCCCCGGGAGCAGUGCCCAUGCCGGGACCUCUCUCUCACGGCCGUGCCACUGCCCCACGUGCGGGGCGAGCGGCUUGGGAGGCUCAAAAGGCUUUGAAAGGUCAAAUUCUCCUCUCGCUUUCACCUGAGCAGCAAAGCGAGACAGUGCAAGCCGUAUCUCACGAGUGACACAGUCAUGCGCAUGUGAUCGGGCCAAGAAAGCACUCAGCAGAUAACUCUGCUUGUCUCCUGCAUGGCUCACCCAGCGCCCUGAAUACAGUUUGUGUUUACUUAGCAACCGAAACGGGUCCCACGUUGUGCGGCCAAAAUAGCCCUGGCCCCUGCUCCCGAAAGAUUACAGCCCCAGCAGAACGGGAAAAUCCCUGGGACUCUGGGCAGGGAUGGUUGCCAUCAAAUCCCUGUCAAUUUUCGGGUUUUCAAAUCAGCGGCAGAAACAAGGUUAAAGAAGGCGAGAGGUGAUGGAAACGAAGUUCGAGAUGUAGGGAAGAAAAUAAGGGAAAGAAAACUCUGUAGGAUUGGGCUAAGUGGGUGAAUAUUCUGUUAUUUUCAGGAGCCAAUUUUAACUCUCCAGUCCACGCUUUCGGGGUGGUUUUGGCCGCUUCACGCUGAUAAACUGCAAUUGGGAGUGUUAAUGUGGUAGCUAAAGAUCACCAAGUGCUCGCAGCGAGCUGUCCCUGCUUGUUUCACAAAACAGCAACCAAAAUAGCCUUGUCAGUUUAAAUAGUCAGAGUUUGGUGGUAAAACAUGCAUGCUUCAGCUAACUGAACUGAGUUAGAAAGCUCUGGCUAGCAUUUGGAACCAUAUGUUAAAUAAAUUAUGGUUUGCAUUUGAACUACACUGUGGUUGCUUUAGGUGGAUAAACUGGAAUCUGCCAAACUGCCUUGAUCAUUCUGAAUUUAUAGACAAUUAAUUAUGUAAAUACACUUCUAGAUAUGGUUGGUCUUCGGCUGACUUCCUUCCUUGUUUUUCUGCCUAACAUUGUCACCUGAAACUAUUCUCAGGGAGAUUCUCUAUCUUUUGCACCAGACUUUGUUGCAUGCCUUUACUGUGUGUCAGGAUCACACUUUAGAAGUUGACAUAUAAAAUGGGGGUAUUUUUAAUUCUUUUCUGUGUGGGAAAAAAGAGAAAUCUGAGAAGCAACAGAACCAAAGAGACAGCGCCACUUCUGUGCCACAAAGAGCACUCUUGGACUGGAAACACACUAAGAAUGGGGAUUUCAUUGACACCACUCAAAGAAGCUGUGUUUUAUUCCAAGUCUUUUGCUGAUGAGAAUUAUGGAUAUUUUAAUGAUGUAGAUGUUAGAUAGACCCUGUGCUAGCCAAAAUCUCUCAGGAAAGGUAUAUGUCAAAGUGAUGAAUAAAAACUUUGAGAGAACAGUGUUUCAGCAGGAAAAGGGACCAAAAAUAAAAUUCUACCCCGUGGAAAUCAUACAGAACAUUCCAUGACAAACACGGGGGUAUUUUCCCAGCACCCAGAUUCAAGUAAUGAAUUUAGAAUUACAGAACAGCACCAUGGUCACAGGAUCCUGCUCAGGAUCUGGCACUGGGUUCUUUGAGUGUCCCUUACUGGAAGGUGAGGUGGCCUUGGCUUGUGCUGGUUCCUGGAGGGAUGAGCAGCACGGUGCCAGGGCUGUUCCUGCUCCCCUCUGCCCUGGGGAACACAGGGGGCACGAGCUGGGUCACCUCCUGGGAUAUUAAUAGGUCCAGCUAUUUUGUGAAGCUGGAAGGAAUUAGCUGAUAAUUCAGGCUAAUGACUUGAGAAACAUAACAUAUCUCUUCACAUCACAUGUAGUUCUGCUUGCUGGUAAUUAUUGCUGUGUUUUUCCUGCUUGCUGGUAAUUAUUGUAAUUAUUGUAUUUUCAUGUAUACAUUACUGUGGCACCCACUGAUUUCAGUGGAGUGCAUAUGAGCCCUUCAAAUGGUGAUCUUUCAUUUCUUUGAAAGACUUUAGGAUCAUCUUCUCACCUGCUCUCCAUUUCCACUUCUGUGUGAUCAUGCCUCUAACAGAUACAUGAACUGUAAUUUAUUUCUAUUUAAAAGAUAUUUUCAUGCCUUGCUUUUCUACCCUUAUUUUCUAUUGUUCUAGCUUCUACUUCUCUCUAAGAAAAAAAAGGAUUACAUUUUUUUCAGUUUAGUUUCAUCUUUGCAUGAUUUUAAUUUUCCUCAUUUCAUACACUUUCCACUUAGAGUGCCUUUCCUUGCAUUUCACUGUUGUAGUAUACCCAGUUUCUUCUUUUUCUCUUAUCUCUUUCCUAUUUUAUUCUUUCUCUGUUUCUUUUCCCUCUCACUCUUCCUCAAGCUUUUGAGAAGUGCCAGUGUUUGUUUCUAGUGCACUCUCUCAGCCCAAGUACAUUUCAUCAGCUGGAAAAUACAAAACAUGCAGUUUGAUCCUGUUUUUCCAGUUAUGUAUUCCUGGGGUAAUAAAGCCAAAGGAAUUCCUUUAUUCUGUAUUAGGGGCAGAGGGCAUUUCAUGGUCUAAAUGACAAGCACAGACUUUGCAGGGGGUGCAGUAAACUAAGUUAACUAAACUAAACUAAACUAAACUAAACUAAACUAAACUAAACCAAGCAUGUAAAACCUAACACCCUCCCCUUUGAACUUACAGCUUGAAAACGAAAAAUUUUGGGGUUGCAUGAACUUUAUGUGUUUGAUCCUCAUGAGUGUUUGUUCAAGGUCAAAUGCCAUAUUAUAAAUAGUGUUUAUAUUUUUUUACAUCAAAUUAAUAUUAUUACCGAAUUCCAGUUUGUGGGGUUGCUGCUAUCUUACACCAGAACUGUUUCACAACUGAUUGUGAAAAAUAGGACUAUUUUGAUAUUUUGACCAGUCCAAAGGCUGGAUUAGCCAUAAGUCAGCAUUGUUCUUAGUGUGGCUCUACACUGAAGUUGUGGGUUUCUCUCCUCCUUACUUUUCAACUCAUCUGCAGUGCUCAAGUCUAAUUAAUCAGCCAUUAUGUGGGUGAAGUUAUUUCUAUACAAAUGGUAGAGAUACCCACAAAGGUCUGUUCUUGCCAAGGAAUAUGAAGCAUUACUCCUGCAGGAGCAUGAGCCUGGCUACCUUCCAAACACCUGGACUGAGAAAGAAAUAGCAGCAUUUACUAUUACUUUUAUUACAGAACUGACACACUCGGGCCACUGGGAGAAGAGACAGAGGCAGCAGCAUGAAAUAUGUUGGGGUUUUAACCUAAGCAAGAGAGAUAGAGGUGAUGUAUGGGGUAAAAGCAAGGGACUCUUUGAAGUGUACAAGAAGCAGCAGAGGUGGAGAUUUCAGCUCCAUGAACUCCUUUGUGGGAAGGUGACAAAUGUCACAUCCACGCUGACCCUGCCUUUGGAGGUUGCUGAGGGAAGGCAGCACACCUCUUCAGCCAAGGGGCCAAGCUUUCCCUGAUAAUUACUCUUGGAUUUAAUGGCAGCUGCUCUGGAUUUCUCACUGCUUUGAGUAAGCUACAAAACUUCCAGUCCUGGAAAAGCCAAUGACCAGCGGAACCAGGUGAAUCACGGCUCCAGAAAAAAGGAGUUGCACAAGGGGCAGAUCCAAUUUCAUUGUGCCCAUGGAAUUCCUCCUCUUCUUUACCACAGGCUGUUUUCAGUGUCGAGUUUCCUUCUCGCCGGGGCGGUAACUGCUCGUGUGCCGCGGCUACGGGAGGCAGGCUUUGGGUGCUCGGAUCCCCCUCGGGCUCUCAGCACGUACUGGAUGUGGUCAGCUGUUUGCCCCUAUUACGUUUCAAGUUCAGAGUAAAAACAGAACAUGACCUAAGAUAUUUCCAUAAUUGUUUUCUUUAAUCACCCCUAAUUCCUCUGUUUCAGAAUUAAACCUGUCGCAGCCGAUGUGUGUGACAUACAUCAUCCCUCUGUGACUGGAACGCUAAAUAUCCCCUUACAAUUCCUGCAGGAUGUAUUCUCCUUGGUGGGGAUUUCACAGCCCCUUCACGAGAAAUAUUUGGAAUUCAGAGACCAUGAAAAGGUUUCUGAAUUUACAGACAGUUGGUUUAGGGAGUGGGCAAAGUAAGUGGCUGUGUGUCUUACUAAGAAUUACGUAGUGCUAAGGAAGCAAACUGAGAAGGGAAGAUUUAUUGUUUACCAGCAAUAGCCCUUGGCAAGAGGAGUGAAUCUAUUUACAAUAACAAAUCAAAGAAGCCAUCUUGGGUCAGACUCAACUUACAGCCAGUUUCCAGCAGCUGUCUGUAGCAGAUAUCUAAAGAAGAAUGGACAGUAAAAACAUGAUAAACACAAUUAAAACUCCACACACGCAGCCACCAGAGGCUCUUGAUGUAGGAUUUUUCUGCCUAUUUUUCAAACUGUUUUUUAACACACCUUGAUUUUCAACACCCUGUACCACCCCCAUUUACUGUAUGGUGAAGCAGAAAAUAAGAUUUCCCUCAUGUCUCCUUCACACAUGCAGUGGUUUUACAGCUUUCUGCAGGAGUUUUCUCGUGUGGCUUUGGAACCUGGAGUUCCUCAGUCCAUGUAUAAACAUGAAUCCCUGCUUGCUCUUCUCUAUCUUAACUAAUACAUCUUUUUAGACAUUAGGGGACAAAAAGUACAGAUUAGAAACAUGGAUUAUUCAACAUGUUCCUGUAGACUUUCACUGUGGAUGCUGAGGCUUUCUGCUUUCUUUCUUAAUCCCAAGAAUUUUUAUCAUCUGUUUACACUGUCAGCUGAGCACUGAGUAACAUUUUUGCAGACCUACUUCUAUUUUAUUGAGGACAUAAGCAUUUGAUAGGCAGGAAAUUGUGUAGAAAACAGCCUAAAGCCACCCUUGCUAACCCACAGAACUCAUUUCUCCAUACACCUGUGGGGACAGAGUCUUCAAAAGUUGCCUGUUAGCAGCUCUGAAAAUCUGAUAGAGUUGUCAUAAUGUAGAUAUUCAUGGAAAUGUAUUUCAUGGAAAUGGAGAUAUUUCCAUGAAAAUGACAGGUGAAGAAGAAAAAGUCUUCCUGGAUUGAAAACCCAUAGUGGGAGCAGCCCUGUGGCCCUCAGAGGAAACACCCAAGAGGCUUCCAGUGGAUGCAUUGCUGAGGGAAGGACACAGCACAGAAACACAGCUUCAAGUGCUGACGGCAAUAUAAAGGGAAACUUCUGCUGUGCUGCCCUCUUCUGUGUACCAGGCUUAUAAAUUUGCAUCACUCCUCUGUUCAAGCACACCAGCUCCACCAGAAUCAUUCAGAUGAAUCUACAGCCUUCUAAGGGACAGAGCUGCUGUGGAUGGUGUACACUGAUAUUUUGCUCGUGAAGGGAUUUGGUCAGGUGCCCAAUAUGAUCCAGCAGGAUCCUGCCUUGGAGCCAGGGGUGAGGAUGGUGAGCCCGGCAAAGGGGCCGGCAGAGGUGUCCGGUCAGUGUCAGUGUCCAGUCAGUGUCCAGUCAGUGUCCGUGUCUGGACAGUGUCCGUGUCCAGUCAGUGUCCAUACCCGGGCAGUGUCCAUACCCGGGCAGUGUCCAUACCCGGGCAGUGUCCAUACCUGGGCAGUGUCCAUACCCGGGCAGUGUCCAUACCCGGGCAGUGUCCAUACCUGGACAGUGUCCAUGCCCAGUCAGUGUCCAUACCCUGUCAGUGUCCAUACCCUGUCAGUGUCCAUACCCGGGCAGUGUCCAUACCUGGUCAGUGUCCAUACCUGGACAGUGUCCAUACCCGGGGCUGUCCGUGCGCUGCGGGAGCCGCUCCCCGCUCCCACUGAGAGCGCAGCUCCAU